Molecule: ribosomal RNA, 253 nt
Filed under: uncultured microorganism
Description: partial 16S ribosomal RNA
Rfam family: Bacterial small subunit ribosomal RNA
Source: RNAcentral
UACGUAGGGUGCGAGCGUUAAUCGGAUUUACUGGGCGUAAAGCGUGCGCAGGCGGCCCGUUAAGACAGGUGUGAAAUCCCUGGGCUCAACCUAGGAAUUGCGCUUGUGACUGGCGGGCUCGAGUACGGUAGAGGGGGGUGGAAUUCCUGGUGUAGCAGUGAAAUGCGUAGAGAUCAGGAGGAACACCGAUGGCGAAGGCAGCCCCCUGGGCCUGUACUGACGCUCAUGCGCGAAAGCUGGGGGAGCGAACCGG